Molecule: ribosomal RNA, 404 nt
Filed under: uncultured bacterium
Lineage: Bacteria
Description: bacterial SSU rRNA
Rfam family: Bacterial small subunit ribosomal RNA
Source: RNAcentral
AACGAACGCUGGCGGCGUGCCUAACACAUGCAAGUCGUGCGAGAAAGUUCCUUCGGGAGCGAGUAAAGCGGCGCACGGGUGAGUAACACGUAGGUAACCUGCCCCCCAGUCUGGAACAACUAGAGGAAACUCUAGCUAAUGCCGGAUGAGACCACGAUCCCUUCGGGGGUUGCGGCCAAAGAUGGCCUCUACUUGUAAGCUAUCGCUGAGGGAUGGGCCUGCGGGCCAUUAGCUUGUUGGUGAGGUAACGGCUCACCAAGGCUGUGAUGGCUAGCUGGUCUGAGAGGAUGACCAGCCACACUGGGACUGAGACACGGCCCAGGCUCCUACGGGAGGCAGCAGUGGGAAUAUUGCGCAAUGGGCGAAAGCCUGUCGCAGCGACGCCGCGUGGGUGAUGAAGGCCU